CCUACGGGGUGCAGCAGUCGAGAAUCAUUCACAAUGGGGGAAACCCUGAUGGUGCGACGCCGCGUGGGGGAAUGAAGGUCUUCGGAUUGUAAACCCCUGUCAUGUGGGAGCAAAUUAAAAAGAUAGUACCACACGAGGAAGAGACGGCUAACUCUGUGCCAGCAGCCGCGGUAAUACAGAGGUCUCAAGCGUUGUUCGGAAUCACUGGGCGUAAAGCGUGCGUAGGCUGUUUCGUAAGUCGUGUGUGAAAGGCGCGGGCUCAACCCGCGGACGGCACAUGAUACUGCGAGACUAGAGUAAUGGAGGGGGAACCGGAAUUCUCGGUGUAGCAGUGAAAUGCGUAGAUAUCGAGAGGAACACUCGUGGCGAAGGCGGGUUCCUGGACAGUAACUGACGCUGAGGCACGAAGGCCAGGGGAGCGAAAGGGAUUAGAUACCCGUGUAGUC
This 446-nucleotide ribosomal RNA is filed under the name uncultured bacterium. Its description in RNAcentral is "partial 16S ribosomal RNA". It matches the Rfam family "Bacterial small subunit ribosomal RNA", at positions 338 to 795 of the family's 1533-position model. The record is from RNAcentral.